GCAUUGCUUUAAACAUUUCAACGUUUUACGUUCGUAAAAAAAGAUUUAUUUUAGCUAACGCGAAAGCACUCCGCCUGGGGACUACGGCCGCAAGGUUGAAACUCAAAGGAAUUGACGGAGGAUCACACAAGCGGUGGAGCAUGUGGCUUAAUGCGUAAUAACGCGCAAAACCUUACCAGUUUUUGAAUAUUGAACAAUUUAAUAUAAAAAAUUAAUAAAUUCAUUUCUUUUAUUCUUAGAGUUAAAAAAUGACUUUCAAUA
This 261-nucleotide ribosomal RNA is filed under the name uncultured bacterium. RNAcentral describes it as "partial 16S ribosomal RNA". It matches the Rfam family "Bacterial small subunit ribosomal RNA", at positions 794 to 1057 of the family's 1533-position model. The record is from RNAcentral.